RNAcentral lists this ribosomal RNA (537 nucleotides) under Stolephorus dubiosus. RNAcentral describes it as "partial 16S ribosomal RNA". It matches the Rfam family "Bacterial large subunit ribosomal RNA", at positions 1931 to 2624 of the family's 2925-position model. The record is from RNAcentral. Lineage: Eukaryota; Metazoa; Chordata; Actinopteri; Clupeiformes; Engraulidae.
CCGCGGUAUCCUAACCGUGCGAAGGUAGCGCAAUCAAUUGCCCUAUAAAUGAGGGCCUGUAUGAAUGGUAUGACGAGGGUUUAACUGUCUCUUUUUUCCAGUCAGUGAAACUGAUCUGUCCGUGCAGAAGCGGACAUUUUUAUACAAGACGAGAAGACCCUAUGGAGCUUUAGGCACUAACCAACUAUCGGAAGCAAUUUUACAAGUAAAUUCCACUUUAGAUUUUCUGGUAAUGUAGUCUUAGGUUGGGGCGACCACGGGAGAAAAAGAAGCUCCCAAGUAGACAGGGAAUAACCCUGAAACCAAGAGCUACGGCUCUAAGUCGCAAAAUAUUUGACUAAUAUGAUCCGGCCGAUGGCCGAUUAACGAACCAAGUUACCCUAGGGAUAACAGCGCAAUCCUCUCCCAGAGUCCUCAUCGACGAGAGGGUUUACGACCUCGAUGUUGGAUCAGGACAUCCUAAUGGUGCAGCCGCUAUUAAGGGUUCGUUUGUUCAACGAUUAAAGUCCUACAUGAUCUGUUCUCAAAAACACCGGA